Molecule: long non-coding RNA, 871 nt
Filed under: Homo sapiens (human)
Lineage: Eukaryota; Metazoa; Chordata; Mammalia; Primates; Hominidae
Description: long intergenic non-protein coding RNA 1013
Source: RNAcentral
AGAAUUUCAGUAGACUCCUCGUGCAGUCUGAGGAGGCAGUUUCCUAUCUGGUUUGACUUAAGGGGCUGCAGAAGACAUUCUUAUCCCACAUAUUUCUUCUGCUGAUCAGUCAGCAACUGAAAUUCCAACUAAUGGAUUCCAUUCUUCCAGUUAAGACAUCAUCUCCAGAAAACUGUGCUAGUUGGCAUCCAGCAGUGCCCAAGUAUUAUUUAACCCACUAGAACCUGUGACUGCAUCAGCUUUAUAUCCUGGACCUCAGCCUGGAACAAAGGAGAGCUACACUUGGAUACUAAACACAAGUGGUCUGGAUAGAUUAUGCUGGGAAAAGAAGCCUGGAGCAGGCAGUACAGUGGGAGAACAAGACAGAAGUGCUUGCCUUGGUGAUCCAAAAAAGGCAGGAUCCGGCCGGGGGCAAGGUGAUUAUUCUGUCUGAUGAGGAGAAUAAGAGCCAGUUUGUGGUAUUGACAGAAGAAUGAAAGUAAAGGAGGCAAAACCAGUUCAACCAAUCUACAAAGGCCAAAAAUAUUUUCACAGGCCCCCAAAAGAUGAACUCCAAUCUGCUGCCCCUAAACGCAUUCUCCACUGUCUGGAAGAUGUGCAAAGGCAACGGCACAGCGUUCUCCAUCUCAAAUCCUUCAAAGUGCUGUCAGAAUAAAAGAAUCCCCACCAAAAGCCCCAGGGAAAUCUAUCUGUCUGUAUGGUAUGGUAAUGACUGAGGUUAUUCCAGAUAGGAUUCUGGGAGAAACUCAGCUAUUGAAAUCUAAUGAAUGGAACUGAGAAUUUCUUGUUAUAAUACUGUUUGUUUGAUUGAAUAUAUCCUUGCAUAUAGGAAGACAUAAAAAUAAAUAAUAAAAGCAAGAUAUUAUUUGAA